Molecule: ribosomal RNA, 378 nt
Filed under: uncultured organism
Description: partial 16S ribosomal RNA
Rfam family: Bacterial small subunit ribosomal RNA
Source: RNAcentral
GGAGGUGCAAGCGUUGUUCGGAGUUUACUGGGGCGUAAAGGGGCGUGUAGGCGGAUAUGCAAGCUGGGAGGUGAAAGCCCCCGGGGCUCAACCCGGGGAAUUGCUUUGUAGAACUGCAUAUCUAGAGAAAGUCAGAGGCAGGUGGAAUUCCAGGUGUAGAGGUGAAAUUCGUAGAGAUCUGGAGGAACACCGGCGGCGAAGGCGGCCUGCUGGGGCGUUUUCUGACGCUGAGGCGCGAAAGCGUGGGGAGCAAACAGGAUUAGAUACCCUGGUAGUCCACGCUGUAAACGAUGAGCACUCGAUGUGCGAGGUACGACCCCUCGUGUGUCACAGCUAACGCAUUAAGUGCUCCGCCUGGGGACUACGGUCGCAAGACUA